RNAcentral lists this long non-coding RNA (2755 nucleotides) under Sorghum bicolor (sorghum). RNAcentral's name for it is "long non-coding RNA (SBIC_LNC008903)". The record is from RNAcentral. Lineage: Eukaryota; Viridiplantae; Streptophyta; Magnoliopsida; Poales; Poaceae.
CACAAACACGAUGCACAACCUCUAAGAAAGCAAAGCUUCCACAAGGUGAUACUGUACCAUCACUCUUCAAGUAAGGUAACAUCUUAAGGUACUUGACUAUCACUUUUAUAAGCUUCUCCUUGGUUCUAGUGUUGAUAUGAAUAAAAGAGACAAACAUGUAUGAUUUACAACUCUAGGUUAACCAACCCAAUCGAUUCAAUAUGUUUAGUCCUUCCACCUUUGUGAUCCCACACUCCUAAUCAUAUGAGCUAAAAUGUUGCACACUCAAUCUUUGGAAGAUAUAUAAAAAAACAUAAGUAUAGAUAGAUUAUCUUUCCAUUAGGUUGAGCGAUCUGAUCUGACAAAUGUUUUUAAUACUACACUCAUGAUCUUAUUAUCCAUCAAAUUUUUCUUGCUCACUAUGCUUAAGGUUAGAGAAGAACAAAUACACUUUUGGUUCUGUUGGUGUUUUCCACCAGCAGGGCCCAUGCACUUGAUCUCUGCCUUCUCUAUGAGCAGGUACACUAGGAGCAAAACAUAGUGGAGUUUUACAACUCCCAGAUUCCACCAAGUGAAGGACCUAGAUCUACAAGCACAAACACACUGAGCAAGAUGCUGCCAACGCCGCACUUCGAACUGCUGGGGAAACGAAGAACAUGGGUGACACUGUAUCAAGAUGUGCAGACAUCAAGGUCCACACCUGAAUCAAAUGACGCACCUAAAGAAUAAACACAGUGAGAAGUCUUGUUCAGAAGCUUAAAACAUUGAACCCUCGCCGAAAGGUAAAAUCGGUAGUUAUCCAUAUUUAUCCUUUCUGCAUUCCCUUUUCCCUUAAAUUAUUUACUUUCCUUAAAUGGCUUGUUAGUUAAUCAUGCCAUCUUGAAAAGAAAAUAAAAAUGUUAAAAAUAGUAAGCCCCAUGUGAGUAUGCUCGUGGCAUAAAACCCAUAAGUACAUUCACUGUGGUGGCGUAAAAAAUAAAAUAAAAAUAUUCCUGUCCUAUAAAAAUGAAAAUAUAAAAAUAAAUUUAUGAUCCUACCAAAGAGAGUAAAUAUUUAUUAGAGGAAGCUCAACGGCUAAGAGAUUUUAUGCUAACACUUAACCAGUUCCACAAAGCUUUGUUGUCUAUUUGAGCUCUACAGAAUUCAAGGAUCAAAGAAGACUAGCAGACGGAGGACAUCCUAAUAGCUGUCAAGGUGCUGCCGACAUUCAAAUAUACCUCCGCCACCUGCUAGCUACAUCAGAAAAAAUUACGUCAAAAUCCAGCUUGGGGGAGAGCACCCCCAUUUAUCCAGCUAAGUGUUUCUACUCGCGUUUAUACUUUACUCAAAUAAUAAAAAGAUGCAUAAUCAUAAAAACUCAAAUAAAGAUUUUGUGCUUAUAUAUAUAUCUUUGCUUAGUUUGCUAAAUAAAUAAAUAAAUAAAGUUUGCUAUGAACUCUCAAGAUAAGCUCUCACAUGGAAAUGAUGAAUAGUUUCUCUACCAUGACUAGUUCUCAAAAUUGAAAUCUCUCUCAAUUUUAGGCAUGACUGUUAUGAAUUAAGAUUUGCUCUAAACCUAAACUUGUGGGAAGAGUACUUGAUCUAACGUCUAAGUCGUUAAUGGAUACGAUAUGGGAAGGUUGAGCUGCUGUUUAUCUGUUCCUAGAGAUGCUAGAAUUAUGGAGAAUUUUAUCUUUGAAAAUCUUUAAAAUGUUGCAUGAUGAGUUUCUGUAUGAUGAGAGUUUAAAAUCCUACCACAGCCACAUAUACAUGCUUAUUAGACUAUGAACCAUACAUCUACUUUUUACUGCUUAUGAGCAUUGAGUGUGGUCAAGCUGUGUAGACCCUUAGGAGCUUGUCAUGCGGUUAAAAUCAAGAUUCACUUGCACGUUCACUCAUACAUGCUGCUUCUACUUCGGAAGUACGCAUCCACAUACAUCCACUCCUUUCCAUCUCUAGAUUCACCCAAAAUUAUUCUACUCCUAUCUAGGAGAGAAUAGCCAAAAACAUUAUCCUAUCCCUGUUAUUCCCCGCGAAAUAAAUGCUUGAGAUAUUUUGGUUACUACCACUUGCUACAUUAUUCCAGGAGGGUGAGUGCUCUAAAAAAAGAGAGAGAAAAAAAAGAGAAAAAUACGAGGAAAUAAAAAGAGGCAAGUGCCCGGAACCUCGAAAAAAAAGUGAGACAAGAGGUAAAAAUGGACAAGUGUCCGACAGUAGAAUUAGGGGUACAAGAUACCCACCAUAGAGAAAAGAAAAACAAAAUAUAGAGCAUCUCAUUCCCCUCAAAAAACUUCAAUGUGCAAGAAAGGUAUGUAUCCCCUAAAAAGAGCAAAACUAGAAUUAGACUUUCACCAUUGUUUUCAUCAUCAUCACCAUACACCAUUCAUUCGCCACACAUGCACAUCUUGAUUUGACUUAUUGACUUGUUUCUCUAGAUCCAUGGUUUGACUAUGCAAUAAAUAUCUUGUAAGUAUGUAUUAGCUGUCUCCCACCUAUGAGCUCUAGAUAUCAAAACCUUAUUAGAGUAGGGUGAGAGAGAAGGCAAUGUCACUAUGCCUCAUACCACAAAUACCACAUACUUUGAGAGAAGACAUAUAACAUCACUACCUUGGUAAGGAUCCAGAAAUACCAAAAAAGAGAGAGUUGAGAGAGUCAUACAAGAAAUCUCUGAGUUUUAUUUUGAAAAUCUACAAAAACUCUAGAACUAUAGUUGAUCAAAAAACAAGAGACAUGGCGCUUGACUUGACCAUUCUAUCUUUUAACUUCUCAAAACAUAAGUGACGGUUGCAAGCCCCAU